GGACUGGUGGUGUGGUGGUAACACAUUGCAUCUGGACAUGAAGAGGGGUGGUUCAAUUCCUUCCCGGACCA
This 71-nucleotide transfer RNA is filed under the name Gongylonema pulchrum. It matches the Rfam family "tRNA". Rfam says of the family: Transfer RNA (tRNA) molecules are approximately 80 nucleotides in length. Their secondary structure includes four short double-helical elements and three loops (D, anti-codon, and T loops). Lineage: Eukaryota; Metazoa; Nematoda; Chromadorea; Rhabditida; Gongylonematidae. The record is from Rfam by way of RNAcentral.